GGACAUGAGUGCAAUCUGGUUGCGACUUCUGUUACCCCAUUGGCUCAGCUGAUCUGGCUAGCUAGGCUGGUGUCCCCUUCCUCCCUCACCUCUCCACGUGUUGUCCCUCCUGAAGCUGCACGUUGAGUGAAGAGGACAACCUUCUCUGCUAGAGGCAGGCCAGUCCUCGGUCAAGGGUAUACAAGUAGCUGCACUCCCCUCCUAGAACCUCCGAACAAGCUCUCAAGAUCACCUUUGAUGUUUAAACUUGUGCUAAUGAUUUUUUUUUAGCUUUUAUUUAAUGAAUAUAAAU
RNAcentral lists this small nuclear RNA (292 nucleotides) under Oryctolagus cuniculus (rabbit). RNAcentral describes it as "7SK RNA". It matches the Rfam family "7SK RNA". Rfam says of the family: 7SK was discovered as an abundant small nuclear RNA in the mid-70s but a possible function has only recently been suggested. Two independent studies have found that 7SK RNA binds the CDK9/cyclin T complex (known as elongation factor P-TEFb). The record is from Rfam by way of RNAcentral. Lineage: Eukaryota; Metazoa; Chordata; Mammalia; Lagomorpha; Leporidae.